This 468-nucleotide ribosomal RNA is filed under the name uncultured bacterium. Its description in RNAcentral is "partial 16S ribosomal RNA". It matches the Rfam family "Bacterial small subunit ribosomal RNA", at positions 28 to 507 of the family's 1533-position model. The record is from RNAcentral.
GACGAACGCUGGCGGCGUGCUUAACACAUGCAAGUCGAACGGAAAGGCCCUGCUUUUGUGGGGUGCUCGAGUGGCGAACGGGUGAGUAACACGUGAGUAACCUGCCCUUGACUUUGGGAUAACUUCAGGAAACUGGGGCUAAUACCGGAUAGGAGCUCCUGCUGCAUGGUGGGGGUUGGAAAGUUUCGGCGGUUGGGGAUGGACUCGCGGCUUAUCAGCUUGUUGGUGGGGUAGUGGCUUACCAAGGCUUUGACGGGUAGCCGGCCUGAGGGGGUGACCGGCCACUUUGGGACUGAGAACCGCCCCGGCCCCCACCGGGGGGCAGCGGGGGGAAAUUUUGCACAGUGGGCGGAGCCCUGAUCCGCCACCGCCGGGGGCGGGAGGAGGGCCUCGGGGUUGAAACCCGUUUCCCCUGGGCACGAGGCGUGAGUGACGGUAAUGGGAAAAAAAGCCCCGGCUAACUCCGUG